This 63-nucleotide small nucleolar RNA is filed under the name Euglena gracilis. Its description in RNAcentral is "Eg-m161 box C/D methylation-guide". Lineage: Eukaryota; Euglenozoa; Euglenophyceae; Euglenales; Euglenaceae. The record is from RNAcentral.
GACAGGAUGAGUGAUACCUCCGGUUGACCUGAUUCUCUUGAAGUGAACGCAUGGUUUCUGACA